This 571-nucleotide long non-coding RNA is filed under the name Pan troglodytes (chimpanzee). RNAcentral's name for it is "long non-coding RNA NONPTRT013605". Lineage: Eukaryota; Metazoa; Chordata; Mammalia; Primates; Hominidae. The record is from RNAcentral.
UGUAGGAUGGGCAAGGAUACUUAGAAGAUCUAGUAAAGGAUAUUGUUCAGUGGCUCAAUGCUUCAUCUGGAAUGAAACCUGAAAGAAGUCUUCAAAAUAAUGGUUUAUUGACCACCCUUAGUCAACACUACUUUUUAUUUAUUGGAACACUUUCUUGCCACCCUCAUGGAGUUAAAAUGCUGGAAAAAUGCAGUGUAUUUCAGUGUCUCCUUAAUCUUUGCUCCUUGAAAAACCAAGAUCACUUGCUAAAACUUACUGUUUCUAGCUUGGACUAUAGCAGAGAUGGAUUGGCUAGAGUCAUCCUUUCCAAAAUUUUAACUGCAGCUACUGAUGCCUGCAGACUCUAUGCAACAAAACAUUUAAGGGUAUUAUUGAGAGCUAAUGUUGAAUUCUUUAAUAAUUGGGGAAUUGAGUUGUUAGUGACCCAGCUACAUGAUAAAAACAAAACAAUUUCCUCUGAAGCUCUUGAUAUCCUCGAUGAAGCAUGUGAAGACAAGGCCAAUCUUCAUGCUCUCAUUCAGAUGAAACCAGCGUUAUCCCACCUUGGAGACAAGGGUUUGCUUCUCCUGCU